GACGAACCGUGCGAACGUUAUUCGGAAUAACUGGGCUUAAAGGGCGCGUAGGCGGGCUGACAAGUCUGGGGUGAAAUCCCGCGGCUCAACCGUGGAACUGCCUUAGAUACUGUCGGCCUCGAGGAAGGUAGGGGCAUGCGGAACUGUAGGUGGAGCGGUGAAAUGCGUUGAUAUCGAUAGGAACUCCGGUGGCGAAGGCGGCAUACUGGACCACCACUGACGCUGAUGCGCGAAAGCCAGGGGAGCAAACGGG
This 253-nucleotide ribosomal RNA is filed under the name uncultured bacterium. RNAcentral describes it as "partial 16S ribosomal RNA". It matches the Rfam family "Bacterial small subunit ribosomal RNA", at positions 524 to 776 of the family's 1533-position model. The record is from RNAcentral.